GCCGAGACUUCGUUGGUUUAAGCCUUCGGGCUUUAUACGUCUGAUUUUGCUCGGUGCCUAAUGCCUGAAUCAGAAGAGAAUCAAAGAGAGGGCAACUGAUAUUAUUAAAAUAUCAUGGAGUGGGUUUCUCUGGAACUCAAACUAAUUUCUUGCAGAGGUUUGAAAGCCUUCAAUUUCUUUCAUAAGCUAUCGGUCUAUGCAGUGGUCUCCAUUUCUAAUGAUGAUUUCAAGGGGAAGAACCAGCAGCAACAAUGUCUCCAGCGUCAAAAGACCCCAGUUGACGGAGAAGGUGGCGGAAAACCCGAAUGGAAUCACAUGAUGCAUUUUGAUCUCAAAUCCAUCUCCCUCCCUGAUCAGGGCGAUCAUCUAUUU
Molecule: unclassified non-coding RNA, 372 nt
Filed under: Hevea brasiliensis (rubber tree)
Lineage: Eukaryota; Viridiplantae; Streptophyta; Magnoliopsida; Malpighiales; Euphorbiaceae
Source: RNAcentral